This is a non-coding RNA of Gelatoporia subvermispora B, 85 nucleotides long. The record is from the annotation of a GenBank genome assembly. Lineage: Eukaryota; Fungi; Basidiomycota; Agaricomycetes; Polyporales; Gelatoporiaceae.
GGCCUGAUGGUCUAGUAGCAUGAUUCUUUCUUCGGGUGUAUCACGUGAUUGGAAGAGGUCCCGGGUUCAAUUCCCGGUCAGGCCC